AUACGGAGGGGGCUAGCGUUGUUCGGAAUUACUGGGCGUAAAGCGCGCGUAGGCGGACCAGUCAGUCAGGGGUGAAAUCCCGGGGCUCAACCCCGGAACUGCCUUUGAUACUGCUGGUCUUGAGUUCGAGAGAGGUGAGUGGAAUUCCGAGUGUAGAGGUGAAAUUCGUAGAUAUUCGGAGGAACACCAGUGGCGAAGGCGGCUCACUGGCUCGAUACUGACGCUGGGGUGCGAAAGCGUGGGGAGCAAACAGGAUUAGAUACCCUAGUACUCC
RNAcentral lists this ribosomal RNA (274 nucleotides) under uncultured bacterium. RNAcentral describes it as "partial 16S ribosomal RNA". It matches the Rfam family "Bacterial small subunit ribosomal RNA", at positions 523 to 796 of the family's 1533-position model. The record is from RNAcentral.